CGAUGUGUACAGGGUUCCCAAGCCCACCUCGACAGAUGGUACUACGCUUGGUACACUGGGCCACGAUGCCUAGUCUGUCCCAAGCCCACCUGUAUGGGGUGCCACUCGGUAGACUACUAGCAUGUCCUACAAACACCAGAAACCAGUUGCAACUCUUGGACAGAGAUCUAGGUGAUUAAUAAGUCGAGAGAGUCAAUUAAGGAUCCCAGUGUGCGGUAGUAGCUAGUCUUGGAUAACAUACACAUGACUCGGUUCUUUAGGUCGGUCCCAAUGAGACAACCCACCAUGUACUCCUACAUAGCC
RNAcentral lists this long non-coding RNA (303 nucleotides) under Hordeum vulgare. RNAcentral's name for it is "long non-coding RNA (HVUL_LNC019192)". Lineage: Eukaryota; Viridiplantae; Streptophyta; Magnoliopsida; Poales; Poaceae. The record is from RNAcentral.